RNAcentral lists this ribosomal RNA (635 nucleotides) under uncultured fungus. Its description in RNAcentral is "eukaryotic LSU rRNA". It matches the Rfam family "Eukaryotic large subunit ribosomal RNA", at positions 24 to 664 of the family's 3401-position model. Lineage: Eukaryota; Fungi. The record is from RNAcentral.
CCCGCUGAACUUAAGCAUAUCAAUAAGCGGAGGAAAAGAAACUAACAAGGAUUCCCCUAGUAACUGCGAGUGAAGCGGGAAAAGCUCAAAUUUAAAAUCUGGUGGCCUUUGGCCAUCCGAGUUGUAAUUUAGAGAAGCGUCUUCCGCGCCGGACCGUGCACAAGUCUCCUGGAAUGGAGCGUCAUAGAGGGUGAGAAUCCCGUCUUUGGCACGGACGACCGGGGCUUUUGUGAUGCGCUCUCGAAGAGUCGAGUUGUUUGGGAAUGCAGCUCAAAAUGGGUGGUGAACUCCAUCUAAAGCUAAAUAUUGGCGAGAGACCGAUAGCGAACAAGUACCGUGAGGGAAAGAUGAAAAGCACUUUGGAAAGAGAGUGAAACAGUACGUGAAAUUGUUGAAAGGGAAACGUUUGAAGUCAGUCGCGUCGGCCGAGACUCAACCUUGCUUCUGCUCGGUGCACUUCUCGGUUGACGGGUCAGCAUCAAUUUUGACCGCCGGAUAAAGGUCGGGGGAAUGUGGCAUCCUUCGGGAUGUGUUAUAGACCUCGAUUCGGAUACGGCGAUUGGGAUUGAGGAACUCGGCGCUUUGCGUCCAGGAUGCUGGCAUAAUGGCUUUAAGCGACCCGUCUUGAAACACGG